Cavia porcellus (domestic guinea pig) is the source of this 296-nucleotide long non-coding RNA. RefSeq lists it as uncharacterized. Lineage: Eukaryota; Metazoa; Chordata; Mammalia; Rodentia; Caviidae. The record is from RefSeq and is a predicted model, not a curated record. The transcript is spliced from 2 exons.
CUUUUUCCAUAGCACAACUAAUGCUGCUUACUGAGAAAAUAAGUCUCAUCUUACAUGUGUGAAGAGAAAGGAAAGGAAAUAAGCAUUCUCUAUUACUCACUAUCUGCAUUCCAUGAGAAGAGGAUAUUCAUGACCACAGUCCUGAUGCUGUGCUUAAGACACUCCUGUCUCUGGCUCCUACAUGUGUGGAAUCUGCCUUGUUCUCAUCCUGCUAGAUUGGUUUCAAGUCUUUUGCUAAUUUAUAACUCAUAACACAGCCUUUUGUUCUGGUUGGCAUAAAACUUCCAUUUCUUCCA